RNAcentral lists this ribosomal RNA (362 nucleotides) under uncultured soil bacterium. RNAcentral's name for it is "bacterial SSU rRNA". It matches the Rfam family "Bacterial small subunit ribosomal RNA", at positions 26 to 400 of the family's 1533-position model. The record is from RNAcentral.
AGAACGAACGCUGGCGGCAUGCCUAAUACAUGCAAGUCGAACGAACUCUUCGGAGUUAGUGGCGCACGGGUGCGUAACGCGUGGGAAUCUGCCCCUUGGUUCGGAAUAACAGUUGGAAACGACUGCUAAUACCGGAUGAUGACGAAAGUCCAAAAAAUUUAUCGCCAAGGGAUGAGCCCGCGUAGGAUUAGCUAGUUGGUGAGGUAAAGCUCACCAAGGCAACGAUCCUUAGCUGGUCUGAGAGGAUGAUCAGCCACACUGGGACUGAGACACGGCCCAGACUCCUACGGGAGCAGCAAGGUAGGAAUACGUGGACAAGUGGGGCGAAAGCCGUAGAACUCCGAAGCCAAUCGGACCGCGUU